RNAcentral lists this ribosomal RNA (245 nucleotides) under uncultured Eubacteriales bacterium. RNAcentral describes it as "uncultured Clostridiales bacterium partial 16S ribosomal RNA". It matches the Rfam family "Bacterial small subunit ribosomal RNA", at positions 524 to 768 of the family's 1533-position model. Lineage: Bacteria; Bacillati; Bacillota; Clostridia; Eubacteriales. The record is from RNAcentral.
UACGUAGGGAGCAAGCGUUAUCCGGAUUUAUUGGGUGUAAAGGGUGCGUAGAUGGGAAAUUAAGUUAGUAGUGAAAGCCCCAUGCUCAACAUGGGAAUUGCUACUAAAACUGAUUUUCUUGAGUACUGGAGAGGAAAGAGGAAUUCCUAGUGUAGCGGUUAAAUGCGUAGAUAUUAGGAAGAAUACCGGUGGCGAAGGCGUCUUUCUGGACAGUAACUGACAUUGAGGCACGAAAGUAUGGGGAG